GAUGAAGAACGUAGCGAAAUGCGAUAAGUAAUGUGAAUUGCAGAAUUCAGUGAAUCAUCGAAUCUUUGAACGCACCUUGCGCCCUCUGGUAUUCCGGAGGGCAUGCCUGUUUGAGUGUCAUGAACACCUCACCCCCUCGGGUUUCCGAUCGGGUGGAUUUGGGUGCUGCCAGUUACAUGGCUCGCCUUAAACGCAUUAGCGGUUGUUGACGUAAUAAGUUUCGUCUUGUCGACCGCUCCUAAUCUCCCUUCGGGAUGUCUUUUAGACACUUCAUGAUCUGACCUCAAAUCAGGUAGGACUACCCGCUGAACUUAAGCAUAUCAAUAAGCGGAGGA
Molecule: unclassified non-coding RNA, 335 nt
Filed under: soil metagenome
Description: partial contains 5.8S ribosomal RNA, internal transcribed spacer 2, and large subunit ribosomal RNA
Rfam family: 5.8S ribosomal RNA (bases 1-120)
Source: RNAcentral